Molecule: ribosomal RNA, 294 nt
Filed under: Klebsiella pasteurii
Lineage: Bacteria; Pseudomonadati; Pseudomonadota; Gammaproteobacteria; Enterobacterales; Enterobacteriaceae
Also listed under: 1 other name
Description: partial 23S ribosomal RNA
Rfam family: Bacterial large subunit ribosomal RNA
Source: RNAcentral
GUUGUUGGGUAGGGGAGCGUUCUGUAAGCCGUUGAAGGUGGCCUGUGAGGGUUGCUGGAGGUAUCAGAAGUGCGAAUGCUGACAUAAGUAACGAUAAUGCGGGUGAAAAACCCGCACGCCGGAAGACCAAGGGUUCCUGUCCAACGUUAAUCGGGGCAGGGUGAGUCGACCCCUAAGGCGAGGCCGAAAGGCGUAGUCGAUGGGAAACAGGUUAAUAUUCCUGUACUUGGUGUUACUGCGAAGGGGGGACGGAGAAGGCUAUGUUGGCCGGGCGACGGUUGUCCCGGUUUAAGC